GGCAUUCUGGCUUGGUGUGCUUCUGAGUGUCCCAGUUAAGAGUGCUGUACAUCUGGAGCUACACAUUCUUGGAAUAGAGCCAUGAGGAUUGAAGAUACAAAUGGAGGAAGAAUUGGAGGAGGAGUCCAGUGAUAGCUUUCCAAGCUCUGGUGCCUCUCCUCCAUGCUGUUCAUCCUGACCUGCUGAUGGCAUCCAGAAAGACUUCCAGGUCUGUUACCCAUCUCUGCUAAAAGGCAGGAGCUCAGACAGAAGCCUGCUCUGAAGAAGGCAAUGAAACUAUAUGGGCUAUGGUUUGAGAAGAGAAGAAAAGCCCAAGGCAGGUAGGAAAGAAGAGGCCUUUACCGGAAGACAGUGGCAAACUUGGUGGUUAUAUGCUGUCAUCACUUGGUAGUUUAAAGAGGAUGUUUGGGAAACAACUAGUGCUGUUAUAGACUUUUACAAAGGCUAUUGCUCAUCCUGCCAACUUCCUGUACUCAAUGAUGUCCAUGCUCUGAGCUUCAAGACUGGAGUAUCCAAUUCUCACAGGGCUUCCAUCAAUGAAUGUCCUGGGCAAACCCAGGAACACAGAAAGCUGGCUAGAGCAGCCUUUGACGAUGGCAAGGAGAAAGCUGUACCCACUCGUGAAAUAAAUGGACCUGGACCCCACAGCCCUUUGUGGUAGUGUCUUGGCAGCUGAACAAAGGCAGCAGCAUUUCUACAUCCAGUUUGUAAAGCCUCAGAAGUUGUGGGUUCCAACUUUCCCCCCAAGAAACCCAUGUCGACUAUAAUGAGUGCAUUUUCGAUGUUGUGCUGAAAGCUGGCAACAGAUGAAGCGAGAACAUAAAAGUCUUAUGUCCAAGGCAAAUAUUUCCUUUACAAAACCUAAGAAUGAAGUGGCUUUCAUAAUCAAUUUUAAGAUCAAAUGCCUGGGCUGAAGUACCUGGUUCUGGCACUGGCUAACUAUUUAAUUUGGGACAAUUAAUUUACCUCUGUGUGCUUGCUUUCUCAACUGAAAUCUGGGGCUAAUACCUGCUCAAGUUUCCCUGGAAAAUGAAUGAGAUAAUGAAGGUGCUUUGUCAGUUCUAAAUAUCAUAUAAACAUUAACAAACAUGCAAGUACAACUUUCCUGUGCCCGAUGAAGCACCUCACUUUAUACAGAAGUGACUGCCCCCCACAAGAAAUGACAAUAAAC
This 1171-nucleotide long non-coding RNA is filed under the name Cricetulus griseus (Chinese hamster). Its description in RNAcentral is "lncRNA (ENSCGRG00015039272.1)". Lineage: Eukaryota; Metazoa; Chordata; Mammalia; Rodentia; Cricetidae. The record is from RNAcentral.